This 254-nucleotide ribosomal RNA is filed under the name uncultured bacterium. RNAcentral's name for it is "partial 16S ribosomal RNA". It matches the Rfam family "Bacterial small subunit ribosomal RNA", at positions 524 to 776 of the family's 1533-position model. The record is from RNAcentral.
UACGUAGGGGGCAAGCGUUGUCCGGAUUUAUUGGGCGUAAAGAGCUCGUAGGCGGUUCGACAAGUCGGAUGUGAAAUCUCCACGCUCAACGUGGAGGGGCCAUUCGAAACUGUCGUGACUUGAGUCCGGUAGGGGAGUGUGGAAUUCCUGGUGUAGCGGUGAAAUGCGCAGAUAUCAGGAGGAACACCAAUUGCGAAGGCAGCUCGCUGGGACGUUACUGACGCUGAGACGCGAAAGCGUGGGGAGCAAACAGG